AACGAACGCUGGCGGCAUGCCUAACACAUGCAAGUCGAACGAAACCUUCGGGGCUAGUGGCGCACGGGUGAGUAACGCGUGGGAACCUGCCCUUAGGUUCGGAAUAACUCCCCGAAAGGUGUGCUAAUACCGGAUAAGGUCUUCGGACCAAAGAUUUAUCGCCUUUGGAUGGGCCCGCGUUGGAUUAGCUAGUUGGUAGGGUAAAGGCCUACCAAGGCGACGAUCCAUAGCUGGUCUGAGAGGAUGAUCAGCCACACUGGGACUGAGACACGGCCCAGACUCCUACGGGAGGCAGCAGUGGGGAAUAUUGGACAAUGGGCGAAAGCCUGAUGCAGCAAUGCCGCGUGAGUGAUGAAGGUCUUAGGGUUGUAAAGCUCUUUUACCCGGGAUGAUAAUGACAGUACCGGGAGAAUAAGCCCCGGCUAACUCCGUG
RNAcentral lists this ribosomal RNA (433 nucleotides) under uncultured bacterium. RNAcentral's name for it is "partial 16S ribosomal RNA". It matches the Rfam family "Bacterial small subunit ribosomal RNA", at positions 29 to 507 of the family's 1533-position model. The record is from RNAcentral.